RNAcentral lists this ribosomal RNA (233 nucleotides) under uncultured bacterium. RNAcentral's name for it is "partial 16S ribosomal RNA". It matches the Rfam family "Bacterial small subunit ribosomal RNA", at positions 100 to 334 of the family's 1533-position model. The record is from RNAcentral.
CGGGACGGGUGAGUAAUGUAUGGGGAUCUGCCUGAUGGCGGGGGAUAACUACUGGAAACGGUAGCUAAUACCGCAUAAUGUCUACGGACCAAAGCGGGGGACCUCCGGGCCUCGCGCCAUCAGAUGAACCCAUAUGGGAUUAGCUAGUAGGUAAGGUAACGGCUUACCUAGGCGACGAUCCCUAGCUGGUCUGAGAGGAUGAUCAGCCACACUGGGACUGAGACACGGCCCAG